GCCGGGGUGGCCGAACCAGGUUAAGGCGCCAGAACAAUGGCGAACCUGCUAAGCUGGUGGGCUUUUGCCCUUGCGGGUUCAAAUCCCGCCCCCGGCG
The sequence is a transfer RNA, 97 nucleotides long. It matches the Rfam family "tRNA". Rfam says of the family: Transfer RNA (tRNA) molecules are approximately 80 nucleotides in length.